UCAAACUUGGUCAUUUAGAGGAAGUAAAAGUCGUAACAAGGUCUCCGUUGGUGAACCAGCGGAGGGAUCAUUAGCGAGUUAAACAAAAACUCCCAACCCAUGUGAACGCUACCUUUUGUUGCCUCGGCGGGGCCGCGUCCCGAGAGCGCCGAAAACGGCAGUAGUCGCACUCCGCCCCGCAUGCGGGGCCGGGAGCGCAGCCGUGGCGGUAGUAGGGGCCGCCCGCCGAAGGUCCACUAAACUCUGUUUAUUUUAUAGCUGUAACGUCUGAAAAACUAAAUUAUUAAAUCAAUUACAACUUUCAACAACGGAUCUCUUGGCUCUGGCAUCGAUGAAGAACGCAGC
RNAcentral lists this unclassified non-coding RNA (345 nucleotides) under uncultured fungus. RNAcentral's name for it is "partial contains small subunit ribosomal RNA, internal transcribed spacer 1, and 5.8S ribosomal RNA". The stretch from base 1 to 73 matches the Rfam family "Eukaryotic small subunit ribosomal RNA", at positions 1759 to 1831 of the family's 1831-position model. The record is from RNAcentral. Lineage: Eukaryota; Fungi.